AACGGCGAGUGAAGCGGCAACAGCUCAAAUUUGAAAUCUGGCCUUCGGGUCCGAGUUGUAAUUUGUAGAGGAUGCUUUUGGUGAGGUGCCUUCCGAGUUCCCUGGAACGGGACGCCAUAGAGGGUGAGAGCCCCGUCUGGUUGGACACCGAUCCUCUGUAAAGCUCCUUCGACGAGUCGAGUAGUUUGGGAAUGCUGCUCUAAAUGGGAGGUAUAUGUCUUCUAAAGCUAAAUAUUGGCCAGAGACCGAUAGCGCACAAGUAGAGUGAUCGAAAGAUGAAAAGCACUUUGAAAAGAGAGUUAAAAAGUACGUGAAAUUGUUGAAAGGGAAGCGCUCAUGACCAGACUUGGGCUUGGUUGAUCAUCCAGGGUUCUCCCUGGUGCACUCUUCCAGUUCAGGCCAGCAUCAGUUCGCUGUGGGGGAUAAAGGCUUUGGGAAUGUGGCUCCCUCGGGAGUGUUAUAGCCCAUUGUGUAAUACCCUGUGGUGGACUGAGGUUCGCGCAUUCGCAAGGAU
Molecule: ribosomal RNA, 514 nt
Filed under: Dactylonectria macrodidyma
Lineage: Eukaryota; Fungi; Ascomycota; Sordariomycetes; Hypocreales; Nectriaceae
Description: LSU rRNA
Rfam family: Eukaryotic large subunit ribosomal RNA
Source: RNAcentral